GUUCGACGUUCAUACAUUUUAUUUUAAUUCCAGUACAGAAAACAUUUGACAGCCAUGUGAAAGAGUAAUAAAAAUGAGACUACUCAUUUCUUAAAACCAUUUUAUUGACCCAUGUACAGAAAGUGCAGCAGCGACCACAAAAAAGUCGGAUUUUGUGUUGAUGAUGAGCCAAGGAAAUUCAUUGCAGUUGUGAACAUUCAGGAAGAAAAAUCCCAGCAGCCCCUGGAUCGAGGAACAUGAUGAACACUCUGCAAUACUGCUGUAACACUUACAUAGACCUGAUAUCUUAUGCUUUCAGCCUUUUUUCCACACCUGCAGUGAAGCUACAGACUCCAACAACAGCAGUUCACCUGUAGAUGUUGAGAAUAUAUUUGUGACAACUGAAAUCUGUGUCAAAUACAUAAAGGUUUGAAGAGGAGAGUGAGGACAUGAAUUAUCCAAAAUCACGCAGCAAGAUACAUAAAGAUCCUGAGGAGUGAAGAGAUUAAAUGGAAGUGCAAGAAAGGCCUCAUCUGUUUCCAGUGUGUGGAAAGAGUUUUUCACAGCUGGCCAACUGCAAGAAGCACCAGAAGAUCCAUUCUUCAGUGAAAACUCAUGCUUGUGUGGAGUGUAGCAAGACCUUCAACACGUCUGAAUAUCUGCGAAAGCAUCAGAAAACUCACACUACAGAAAGACCGUUCACAUGUUCUCAGUUCAAAGGUAAAAACCACCUUGUGACACAUGAAAGAAUUCACACUGGAAAGAAGCCGCACACGUGCCGUCAGUGUGGGAGGAGCUUCAUACAGUCAUCAGGACUCACUUAUCAUAUGCGUCAUCACUCUGGAGAAAAAGCAUUUAAUUGUGAUCAGUGUGGGAAAAAUUUCACCUCAGUGCCAAAUCUAAAAAAACACCUGACAAUUCAUAUGAAUGAGAGGCUCCAUAAGUGUCCUUUGUGUGAAAAGAGUUUCUCACGCAUGGACUCUCUGAAACAGCACCAAAAAGUACAUGAUGUUGUGCGGGAUCACAUGUGCUUUAUAGCAGUGAGCCAUUUGAAGCAGCACCAGAGGAUUCAUAGUGACGAAAAACCGUUCAGCUGCUCGAAGUGUGGAAGGAGUUUCACACAAAAAAGCCACUUAAACAAACACAUGCGGACACAUAAACCUCAAGAAUCAGGUCUCAGUUAGCGUCUGUGCAGCUGAUCAAAUAAAUGAGAUUCUGAUCAUGCAAAUAUUAUUUUAUUGUUCAAAUAAAGCUGUUUUGAAUUUGUUUAAAGAAUGUUGGU
Molecule: long non-coding RNA, 1261 nt
Organism: Ctenopharyngodon idella (grass carp)
Lineage: Eukaryota; Metazoa; Chordata; Actinopteri; Cypriniformes; Xenocyprididae
Exons: 5
Source: RefSeq, a predicted model, not a curated record